CCUAUACAUGACUCUGCGCAUAUCAAUAAGCGGAGGAAAAGAAACUAACAAGGAUUCCCUUAGUAACGGCGAGUGAAGCGGGAAGAGCUCAAAUUUGAAAUCUUCAAGGUUUUACCUUGACGAAUUGUAGUUUAAAGAAGUGUUUUCUGCUGAAGUUUUGGUAAAAGUUCUUUGGAAUAGGACAUCAUAGAGGGUGAGAAUCCCGUAUUUGACCAUUAUUUUCAGCUUUGUGAUAGCACUUUCAAAGAGUCGGAUUGUUUGGGAAUGCAGUCCAAAAUGGGUGGUAAAUUUCAUCUAAAGCUAAAUAUUGGCGAGAGACCGAUAGCGAACAAGUACCGUGAGGGAAAGAUGAAAAGAACUUGAAAAGAGAGUUAAACAGUACGUGAAAUUGUCAAAAGGGAAGCGUUUGACACCAGUGUUGUUUUCUCGAAAAUCAAUUAAAAAUGGCUCGAUUUUGUAUUGUUGAGACCUUAAAAGCUCACUGUACAUUUUUCGUGUCUUUUUUAAUGCACUUUUCGUUUAACAAGUCUACAUCAGUUUCUUUUGUUGUAAAAGGGUCAUUGGAAGGUGGCUUUCUUUUCGGAGAAAGUGUUUAUAGCCUUUGGCCUCUGCAAUCGGAGAGACUGAGGUCUGCAGCGUAGACUCUUCGGGGUUAGAUACAUUUGUGCUAAGUUAUAGCUUUUUAUAGACAACUUGUUGACUAUAAUUAGUCUUGUAGCUUACUCGCUUAUGCUAUUUUACCUACGCUUAGGAUGUUGAAGAUGUAGCACAUCAU
Molecule: ribosomal RNA, 775 nt
Filed under: uncultured Neocallimastigales
Lineage: Eukaryota; Fungi; Neocallimastigomycota; Neocallimastigomycetes; Neocallimastigales
Description: partial large subunit ribosomal RNA
Rfam family: Eukaryotic large subunit ribosomal RNA
Source: RNAcentral